CACUGCUACUCCUUCAGCUAAGUUACCAACUCGUCGACUGACCAAUAAUGCUGCUGCGGCAUUGAGUAUCUGCAUAUACAUUUACACACAGAGGACAUAAGAAAUAUGGAAGUAAGAAUGGUCAAAGCAGAACUUGGACUUUUGAGGCUUGAUGUGGUCGGUGCACAAUACCAAAAGAGUUUUAAUUUUGUAUACUGGCAUUGUUUCGAGUUUCUACAUCUAGCGUUACGACCUUUAUCACAAUGAUGCUGUCCAUAGAACAAGUUAGUUCAUGGAUUGGAUUUCACUUGACUCUCUAUGGUUCCAUUGUGUGUGCUCGGGGUAGAAGUUUUGUAUAAAUGUAUCGUCAUGCUAUUAAGUAUUUUUAUUUAAGUUCUUUUCUUUCUAA
Non-coding RNA from Nicotiana tabacum (common tobacco), 388 nucleotides. Lineage: Eukaryota; Viridiplantae; Streptophyta; Magnoliopsida; Solanales; Solanaceae. The record is from RefSeq and is a predicted model, not a curated record.